GUUCUUAUAGUUGAAUUACAACGACGAUUUUUCAUGUCGUAGGUCUUGGGUUGAGCCAUGUAAGAAUUA
Molecule: transfer RNA, 69 nt
Filed under: Galegeeska rufescens (East African long-eared elephant shrew)
Lineage: Eukaryota; Metazoa; Chordata; Mammalia; Macroscelidea; Macroscelididae
Also listed under: 1 other name
Description: tRNA-Glu
Source: RNAcentral